This 164-nucleotide ribosomal RNA is filed under the name uncultured bacterium. RNAcentral describes it as "partial 16S ribosomal RNA". It matches the Rfam family "Bacterial small subunit ribosomal RNA", at positions 355 to 511 of the family's 1533-position model. The record is from RNAcentral.
UAGGGAAUCUUCCACAAUGGGCGCAAGCCUGAUGGAGCAACACCGCGUGAGUGAAGAAGGGUUUCGGCUCGUAAAGCUCUGUUGUUAAAGAAGAACAUAUCUGAGAGUAACUGUUCAGGUAUUGACGGUAUUUAACCAGAAAGCCACGGCUAACUACGUGCCAA